This 594-nucleotide unclassified non-coding RNA is filed under the name uncultured fungus. Its description in RNAcentral is "sequence contains ITS1, 5.8S rRNA gene and ITS2". The stretch from base 219 to 372 matches the Rfam family "5.8S ribosomal RNA". The record is from RNAcentral. Lineage: Eukaryota; Fungi.
CUUGGUCAUUUAGAGGAAGUAAAAGUCGUAAUAAGGUCUCCGUUGGUGAACCAGCGGAGGGAUCAUUACCGAGUUUACAACUCCCAAACCCCUGUGAACAUACCUUUAUGUUGCCUCGGCGGAUCAGCCCGCGCCCCGUAAAACGGGACGGCCCGCCGCAGGAACCACAAAACUCUGAUUUUAGUGUAACUUCUGAGUCUAAAAAACAAAUAAAUCAAAACUUUCAACAACGGAUCUCUUGGUUCUGGCAUCGAUGAAGAACGCAGCAAAAUGCGAUAAGUAAUGUGAAUUGCAGAAUUCAGUGAAUCAUCGAAUCUUUGGACGCACAUUGCGCCCGCCAGUAUUCUGGCGGGCAUGCCUGUUCGAGCGUCAUUUCAACCCUCAAGCCCCCGGGUUUGGUGUUGGGGAUCGGGCUGUACUCCAGCCCGGCCCCGAAAUCUAGUGGCGGUCUCGCUGCAGCCUCCAUUGCGUAGUAGCUAACACCUCGCAACUGGAACGCGGCGCGGCCAAGCCGUUAAACCCCCAACUUCUGAAUGUUGACCUCGGAUCAGGUAGGAAUACCCGCUGAACUUAAGCAUAUCAAUAAGCGGAGGA